This 73-nucleotide transfer RNA is filed under the name Loxodonta africana (African savanna elephant). It matches the Rfam family "tRNA". Rfam says of the family: Transfer RNA (tRNA) molecules are approximately 80 nucleotides in length. Their secondary structure includes four short double-helical elements and three loops (D, anti-codon, and T loops). Further hydrogen bonds mediate the characteristic L-shaped molecular structure. tRNAs have two regions of fundamental functional importance: the anti-codon, which is responsible for specific mRNA codon recognition, and the 3' end, to which the tRNAs corresponding amino acid is attached (by aminoacyl-tRNA synthetases). tRNAs cope with the degeneracy of the genetic code in two manners: having more than one tRNA (with a specific anti-codon) for a particular amino acid; and 'wobble' base-pairing, i.e. permitting non-standard base-pairing at the 3rd anti-codon position. Lineage: Eukaryota; Metazoa; Chordata; Mammalia; Proboscidea; Elephantidae. The record is from Rfam by way of RNAcentral.
CCCUGGGUGGUGUAAAUGGUUAACAUGCUCAGCUGCUAACUGAAGGUUGGAAGUUUGAGUCUACCCACAGGAA